Molecule: long non-coding RNA, 1619 nt
Organism: Papaver somniferum (opium poppy)
Lineage: Eukaryota; Viridiplantae; Streptophyta; Magnoliopsida; Ranunculales; Papaveraceae
Exons: 2
Source: RefSeq, a predicted model, not a curated record
AGGAGAAUCCAAGAAAAUCAAAUGUCAAUUUUUCAGCCUCCAACCUUAUGUGUCACAUUUAGGGCGAACGUGUCAAACAGAUUAAUUUAGGUAAUUAGUCCUUAACCCUAGGAUUAAUCGAAAUGUGGGCAUCAUAAAAAGGCAGGGAGAUUGGAGAUAAGUUUCUCGAACCUAAAAGAGGCGCCUCACUGCUUAAGUUUCAUCGCCUCACAGAGAAAAUUAGAUUCAGAGAGAAAAGAGAGGACAAGCUCUGUCAAUUGCAGCGCCUUGCAAUUCCUGUAAGCUUGCCAGAGAAAUCAGUGGUUGCAAUUGCAGUUGUUGGUAAUCUCUAAUCCUGAUUUGUUAAUCUUAUGAUUCAUUGUCAUUAAAAAUGGAUAAAUUAGAUGCUACUGGUGGUGAAAUGGAUUGCAAUUUCAGAUGUUUAGAUUCUGACGUUGAAUUGUUUAGUCACUGUAAUACUGUGAUUCACUUAUGGAUUUGUUAUGAUAGUUUUAAUCUUGGGGGUUGCAUGUUUUAUUAACCCUUCCACUAAAGAAUACAAAAAAAUUCUUAAUCAAUUUAGGAUGAUUCUGAAGAUGGUUAGAUAUAGAGAUCGAUAAUUACAAAUUAGUAAUGCUCCACAGAUUAAGAGCAAAUCCACAUCUAAACCAGAUUCAUUGAUUAAAUCAUAAAAAGCUACGGGUUCACUAAACCAGAUCGAAAUGGGGUUGGUCUGAAGACCAAAUUCAAGUAGCCUUCUGUUGGCUUCUGAGAAGAAGAUAACAGAAAAUAUUAGAACGAUUGUGAAUCAAAUGGGUGAUAGUUUUUCAUGAACUCAUCGUGGGUCCGGUAAAACGAAUUGGAAUCUCCAAAGGUCUGAUUAAGAAAAACUUCACAUUGCUAUCAUGGCAUCUGCGCAAGAUUGAUUCAGAUUGUUCUAGUGGUGGUUGUCAAUGUGGAGUUAAUUGGACAAGUUUUCCACCUGCUCUUUAUGAUGCUAAGAGAAUGCAAGUGGAGAACAAGGUGGUGAAUACUUGUAAUUGAGCAUUUGAAGACGUCGCUUAUGAUGCUGAAGACAUGCCGGGACGAGAAUUGAAAUGAAAUUCAAAACAAGAUUUCAAGACGUUGUUUAUGACGCCGAUAUCUCGAAACCAAUUUGUCUCGGUCUCAAGAUGGCUCAAGAGAUCAAUGAUCUCAACCAGAUGUGCGGUUUAAAAAGCAAGGAUAGUCUCAAGAUGGCUCGAGAAAUAAAUGAUCUCAGCGAGCUUAGUUUUUACAAGCUAUGGAAGAUCAAUGACCUCAUCCGGAUUAGUUUUUACAAGCUAUGGAAGAUCAAUGAGCUCAACCGGAUUAGUUUUUACAAGCUAUGGAAGAUCAAUGACCUCAACCGGAUUAGUUUUUACAAGCUAUGGAAGAUCAAUGACCUCAAUCGGAUUAGUUUUUACAAGCUAUGGAAGAUCAAUGAUCUCAAGCAGAUACAAGGUUUAAAGAGCAAAGGAAAAGCUAGUACUACAUUCACUAAAGAAUACAAAAAGGAGGAUGCCUGGCACCCCUUGUACUUGAUGUUUUAAUUUAUAGUUGUAAAAGUGUAUGUAACUGUAAUAAUGAAAUGAAUGUGCUUUUUUCUCCUAUUUGUUAUA